CCUACGGGAGGCAGCAGUAGGGAAUAUUGCACAAUGGGGGAAACCCUGAUGCAGCGACGCCGCGUGGGUGAGGAAGUAUUUCGGUAUGUAAAGCUCUAUCAGCAGAGAAGAAAAUGACGGUAUCUGACUAAUAAGCCCCGGCUAACUACGUGCCAGCAGCCGCGGUAAUACGUAGGGGGCAAGCGUUACCCGGAUUUACUGGGUGUAAAGGGAGCGUAGGCGGGCAGUCAAGUCAGAAGUGAAAGCCCAUGGCUCAACCUUGGGACUGCAUUUGAAACUGAGUAGCUAGAGUGCAGGAGAGGUAAGCGGAAUUCUUAGUGUAGCGGUGAAAUGCGUAGAUAUUAGGAGGAACACCCGUGGCGAAGGCGACCUACUGGAAUGUAACUGACGUUGAUGCUCGAAAGCGUGGGGAGCAAACAGGAUUAGAUACCCCAGUAGUC
This 440-nucleotide ribosomal RNA is filed under the name uncultured bacterium. RNAcentral's name for it is "partial 16S ribosomal RNA". It matches the Rfam family "Bacterial small subunit ribosomal RNA", at positions 338 to 795 of the family's 1533-position model. The record is from RNAcentral.